This 683-nucleotide ribosomal RNA is filed under the name uncultured Cryptococcus. RNAcentral describes it as "eukaryotic LSU rRNA". The stretch from base 233 to 386 matches the Rfam family "5.8S ribosomal RNA". Lineage: Eukaryota; Fungi; Basidiomycota; Tremellomycetes. The record is from RNAcentral.
CUUGGUCAUUUAGAGGAAGUAAAAGUCGUAACAAGGUUUCCGUAGGCGAACCUGCGGAAGGAUCAUUAGUGAAUUGAAUAUGUUAGCGGACCUCUUCGGAGUCCCUAGCAUCAAAUCAUAUCCAUAACACCUGUGAACUGUAAGGCUGUCUUGAAAACGAAAGUGAUUAGAGCGCCUGCCCAUUUUAUACAAACAUUAAAGUAACAAACGUAGUCUUAUUAUAAUCUAAUAAAACUUUCAACAACGGAUCUCUUGGCUCCCGCAUCGAUGAAGAACGCAGCGAAAUGCGAUAAGUAAUGUGAAUUGCAGAAUUCAGUGAAUCAUCGAAUCUUUGAACGCACCUUGCGCUCUUUGGUAUUCCGAAGAGCAUGCCUGUUUGAGUGUCAUGAAAAUAUCAACCUUGACUUGGGUUUAGUGCUCUUGUCUUGGCUUGGAUUUGGCUGUUUGCCGCUCGCAAGAGUCGGCUCAGCUUAAAAGUAUUAGCUGGAUCUGUCUUUGAGACUUGGUUUGACUUGGCGUAAUAAGUUAUUUCGCUGAGGACAAUCUUCGGAUUGGCCGAGUUUCUGGGACGUUUGUCCGCUUUCUAAUACAAGUUCUAGCUUGCUAGACAUGACUUUUUUAUUAUCUGGCCUCAAAUCAGGUAGGACUACCCGCUGAACUUAAGCAUAUCAAUAAGCGGAGGA